CCCAGACUCCUACGGGAGGCAGCAGUGGGGGAUAUUGCACAAUGGGGGGAACCCUGAUGCAGCGGCGCCGCGUGGGUGAAGGAGCGUUUCGGCGCGUAAAGCCCUAUCGGCAGGGAAGAAGGAGGACGGUACCUGACUAAGAAGCCCCGGCUAACUACGUGCCAGCAGCCGCGGGAAUACGUAGGGGGCAAGCGUUAUCCGGAUUUACUGGGUGUAAAGGGGGCGCAGACGGCAGCGCAAGCCAGGAGUGAAAGCCCGGGGCCCAACCCCGGGACUGCUCUGGAAACUGCGGCGCUGGAGUACGGGAGGGGCAGGCGGAAUUCCUGGUGUAGCGGUGAAAUGCGUAGAUAUCAGGAGGAACACCAGUGGCGAAGGCGGCUUACUGGACGAUGACUGACGCUGAGGCUCGAAAGCGUGGGGAGCAAACAGGAUUAGAUACCCCCGUA
Molecule: ribosomal RNA, 446 nt
Filed under: uncultured bacterium
Lineage: Bacteria
Description: partial 16S ribosomal RNA
Rfam family: Bacterial small subunit ribosomal RNA
Source: RNAcentral